UACGGAGGGUGCGAGCGUUAUUCGGAUUUACUGGGCGUAAAGCGCAUGUAGGCGGUUUCGUAAGUCUGAUGUGAAAGCCCUCGACUUAAUCGAGGAAGUGCAUUGGAUACUGCUAGACUAGAGUGCAGGAGAGGAAGAUGGAAUUCCCGGUGUAGAGGUGAAAUUCGUAGAUAUCGGGAGGAACAACAGUGGCGAAGGCGAUCUUCUGGACUGUUACUGACGCUGAGAUGCGAAAGCGUGGGGAGCAAACAGG
RNAcentral lists this ribosomal RNA (253 nucleotides) under uncultured bacterium. Its description in RNAcentral is "partial 16S ribosomal RNA". It matches the Rfam family "Bacterial small subunit ribosomal RNA", at positions 524 to 776 of the family's 1533-position model. The record is from RNAcentral.